RNAcentral lists this ribosomal RNA (496 nucleotides) under uncultured bacterium. RNAcentral's name for it is "partial 16S ribosomal RNA". It matches the Rfam family "Bacterial small subunit ribosomal RNA", at positions 28 to 506 of the family's 1533-position model. The record is from RNAcentral.
GAUGAACGCUGGCGGCGUGCCUAAUACAUGCAAGUCGAGCGAACAGAUGAGGAGCUUGCUCCUCUGACGUUAGCGGCGGACGGGUGAGUAACACGUGGAUAACCUACCUAUAAGACUGGGAUAACUUCGGGAAACCGGAGCUAAUACCGGAUAAUAUAUUGAACCGCAUGGUUCAAUAGUGAAAGACGGUUUUGCUGUCACUUAUAGAUGGAUCCGCGCCGCAUUAGCUAGUUGGUAAGGUAACGGCUUACCAAGGCAACGAUGCGUAGCCGACCUGAGAGGGUGAUCGGCCACCCUGGAACUGAGACCCGGUCCAGGCUCCUACGGGAGGCCGCAGUAGGGAAUCUUCCGCAAUGGGCGAAAGCCUGACGGAGCCACGCCGCGUGAGUGAUGAAGGUCUUCGGAUCGUAAAACUCUGUUAUUAGGGAAGAACAAAUGUGUAAGUAACUAUGCACGUCUUGACGGUACCUAAUCAGAAAGCCACGGCUAACUACGU